CCUACGGGAGGCAGCAGUGGGGAAUAUUGGACAAUGGGCGAAAGCCUGAUCCAGCAAUGCCGCGUGAGUGAUGAAGGCCUUAGGGUCGUAAAGCUCUUUUACCCGGGAUGAUAAUGACAGUACCGGGAGAAUAAGCCCCGGCUAACUCCGUGCCAGCAGCCGCGGUAAUACGGAGGGGGCUAGCGUUGUUCGGAAUUACUGGGCGUAAAGCGUACGUAGGCGGUUAUUCAAGUCAGAGGUGAAAGCCCGGGGCUCAACCCCGGAACGGCCUUUGAAACUAGAUAGCUAGAGUCUUGGAGAGGUCAGUGGAAUUCCGAGUGUAGAGGUGAAAUUCGUAGAUAUUCGGAAGAACACCAGUGGCGAAGGCGACUGACUGGACAAGUACUGACGCUGAGGUACGAAAGCGUGGGGAGCAAACAGGAUUAGAUACCCUGGUAGUCCACGCCGUAAACGAUGAUAACUAGCUGUCCGGGUACUUGGUAUCUGGGUGGCGCAGCUACGACAUUAAGUUAUCCGUCCGUCGGGUAGGUACGGUCGUCGAGAAUUAAACUACAAUAGUAAUUAGUACGGCGUGAGACGUGCCGAACGGACGACACGAGGGAGUAGG
Molecule: ribosomal RNA, 607 nt
Filed under: uncultured bacterium
Lineage: Bacteria
Description: bacterial SSU rRNA
Rfam family: Bacterial small subunit ribosomal RNA (bases 1-518)
Source: RNAcentral